This 492-nucleotide ribosomal RNA is filed under the name uncultured bacterium. RNAcentral describes it as "partial 16S ribosomal RNA". It matches the Rfam family "Bacterial small subunit ribosomal RNA", at positions 29 to 507 of the family's 1533-position model. The record is from RNAcentral.
AGUGAACGCUGGCGGUAGGCCUAACACAUGCAAGUCGAACGGCAGCACAGUAAGAGCUUGCUCUUACGGGUGGCGAGUGGCGGACGGGUGAGGAAUACAUCGGAAUCUACUUUUUCGUGGGGGAUAACGUAGGGAAACUUACGCUAAUACCGCAUACGACCUACGGGUGAAAGCAGGGGAUCUUCGGACCUUGCGCGAUUGAAUGAGCCGAUGUCGGAUUAGCUAGUUGGCGGGGUAAAGGCCCACCAAGGCGACGAUCCGUAGCUGGUCUGAGAGGAUGAUCAGUCACACUGGAACUGAGACACGGUCCAGACUCCUACGGGAGGCAGCAGUGGGGAAUAUUGGACAAUGGGCGCAAGCCUGAUCCAGCCAUACCGCGUGGGUGAAGAAGGCCUUCGGGUUGUAAAGCCCCUUUGUUGGGAAAGAAAAGCAGCAGGUUAAUACCCCGCUGUUCUGACGGUACCCAAAGAAUAAGCACCGGCUAACUUCGUG